Molecule: long non-coding RNA, 2006 nt
Organism: Lathyrus oleraceus (garden pea)
Lineage: Eukaryota; Viridiplantae; Streptophyta; Magnoliopsida; Fabales; Fabaceae
Exons: 3
Source: RefSeq, a predicted model, not a curated record
AAAAACAAACAUACCACCACAUGGAUCAUACUGGUAAAAGGAAAAAUGCAAAAAAGAAAGAUUGGACCCAUCUCACAGAAGCUAGUUCGGCGCCUCCACCUCCGACAACGCACUAGUAAGCUUCAAAUUUCUUCUUCUUUGUUACUGCUCUCUUCUUAUCCUUCUCUUCUUUAAUUUCCUUAUGAAAUUGUACUGUGUGAGUUGUUGUUGGUUCAAACUCAUCUGUGUGCAUGUUGAGUGAUGAUGGAUUAUCUCAGGCCACUUAAAGCAUCUCAUUUGAAGCUCUAAGGGUCUCUAAUGGAGCUUUGUAGUGGAGGUUUUAGGGUGAUUUUGGCAGAGUGAUUUUAGAGUUAUUGUUGAUGAGUGAGAAUGAUGGUGUUUAAAUAUGAUUGAAAUUGAGGGAAGAGAAUGAGGGAAAGUUUGUUAGAGUGGUUAAAAUAGUUAGGGUUGCGUGAUUCAUGGCCCUUGAAUUAUGAUCCUGUGAGGGGUUUAAGAGUGGUUGGGAUUGAAUCUUCAAGUUAGUUAAAGAUUAUGUUAGUUCAAGGGAAAAAUCAGUGGAAAUUUGUGUUAGUUGGAAUGCACUUUGAAGUGAAUUUGUAGUGAAUUUAGUUUGUAAUUUCACUUGGUUUUUUUGUGAGUUUUGUGUUAGUUUUGAAGUUUGUUUUGACAAUUAGAGGUUAGUUAUGACUAGGGCAAUUUGGUUAGUUAGUUUUGGGUUUAACUAAUUUAAUUGGAAGUUAGAGGUUAGUUAGUUGUUUAGCUUAAAGUGUUGAGUUAGUUGGUGUUGAAAUGUCGAAGUAAAACUGUUUAGUAUCAUGAUACUCUUAUAGUUGUUGAUAGUCUUGGAUAUUAGUAGGGGAUUCAUGUUACAUUAAUGCAUCAACUGCUGAAGGAGCUGCAAGGUUUUCUGUCAUCACUAUAUGAUGAUGAUGAUGAUCUCCAUUAAUAAUAGAUUUGUUUCCUGCUGCAUGAGUUUGACUGCAUGCAUACGAUGGAGAUUUCAAAUUAGUAACCAAGUCUCCAUGGUUGCUAUAGAAACUAUUAUUGUUGAUCUGGUGACAGGGACCUCAAUUGCUCUAGUGUUGUAUUUAAUACUUGUUGCAACAAAAUAGACUCCACAUCAGAUGGAAGUUGUGAAGAUGGUUGGUCAGGUAGCCGCACUCCUGCUUUAGGAACUUCAGGUACAUUACAUGAUUUCAGAUACACUAAAAAGUUGUUUGAGACGACAUUCAACAUCUUUAAGAAUUGAGAUUUAUACCUUCUAAAUAGAGCAUAUCCAUCCACUUGCAAGAAUGAAGAACCUGAGAUCAAAUCAGAGUCUAACUUCAGAGUUUGUUGCACAGCUGAAUAUAAAUGCAAAAGUAAAUAGAGAGACACAAAAUAUAUCUUGGUUCCUCUCAAACUAAGAGUAGUCCAGUCCCCUUGCAACACAAGAUAUUUUCAUGAUAAUCACUCAGAUUACGAUUUGCUCAAUCAACCUAGAAAUAGACUUAUACUCAAGCCCUCAUGUAAGAUACUCCCUUGCCUGAACUAUCCGUUCAAGACUUCCUGCUCAAUCCCUCGGAAAGAGACUUAUGCUAUACCCUCAAGAAUGAGACUUCAAUGUAUGAACAACUAGUUUAGGUCUUCCUGCUCUCCCCGUAAGCCUGAGACUUCAUUGUUUAAUCAAUCUAGAAAGAGACUUAUUUGCUCAAGCACCCAACAAGAGACUUUUUGCUCAAUCUAACAAAAAGAGACUUAUUUUCUCAAGCAAUCAGUAAGAGAUUUCUUACAUAUUCUAAUUAGUAGUUUAGAAUAGUAAUUACAAAUGCACUUGAUGCUCUUAUCAGUGAUGCAUAGUUACAACACAUAUCCUAACGUCUUUAAGAUUUUUAAGAUUAACAAUGGUAAGAAAUAUUAAGACUAUAUCGUACAAGCUAACAUAUAUACAAAAGUGUUCUUGCUUGUAUCAGAUCCUCUUGUGUUGUAUGGUUCUGUUGAUAUCUUAUUCAAAGACUUUCAUAGUA